RNAcentral lists this long non-coding RNA (1493 nucleotides) under Capra hircus (goat). Its description in RNAcentral is "lncRNA (ENSCHIG00010000199.1)". Lineage: Eukaryota; Metazoa; Chordata; Mammalia; Artiodactyla; Bovidae. The record is from RNAcentral.
UCCAAAUGUCCAACUAAAGAAGCCAGAAAUUCAUUCCUUCUGCUUCCCUUACAAAGAGAAGUCUCAACAUACAACCAAGGAUCAGUCCAUUAGAUAUACGCUUGGAAUAAGCAAGUGUUAAAGCAAGUGCCGUGAAGAAACUGGUGUUGUGUAAGCUGCAGCCUGGCAAGGAUGGUUCUGGGAAGUCCGGUUUUAGGAAGCAGCAGUGGCCAGGCUCCCUCACCCUCCACAGCAGCACCUCAGCCCUGGAUUCUGAGCCCAGCAGCAGAAGCCGAGAAUCCGCCCUGGAGCAGACUCAAGCCUGGGUGUGAGCAUCAGUCCUGGCUACAGAGCUCCUGCCCCAGUGAGACUCCGUAAGCUACAUUUAGCCAUUUUAUCUCUGCUAAAGCUGGAAUACCUUCUGUUCCAACUAAGAUCUCUCCCUGAUUGAAUUAAUUUGCUGAGUGCUUCAGUUUGCUUACUUUUAAUUCAGAAGUUUUUACACAGUAUUGAUGAGAAAAAUUGGUUUGACAUAUACAUGUGUGACUUUAUUCAGAAAUAAAAGCUUGAGAAUUAAACACCCAAAGAUCAACCAUGUUGCCUUUUUUCAACUUGAUAGUAAAUUAAUGGCUACUAUCUUAAAAUUUAAAAAUUCAUAUUCCUUUCACAUUACAAUUAUUUCUGUAUUUUCUAUGACAGCCAACAAAAUAUCAUGGAUUUCUUUUGAAAGAAGUAACAAAAGUUAAAGAAAUCAUUAAACAAAGUGGAAAAAAGCUUCAUAUCAAUAAUUUCUGCACUCAGAAGAUGUAUUUUUUUAGGUGAAAAUUCAAAGUGAUGAGCUUAUAUGCAAUUGAGGCAUAGCAAUCCACAUUUUCUCCAUGACAGUCUUACCUCCAGUUGCCUUCGGGGAAAUCAAUGGUGUAAAGUCAUGUAUAUUGACAGAAACUUAACCAUGCACUGGGACAUUAUAGGAUGAAAGGUCUCUACUAAAAACUUUAUGUGUAUUCCUGACAACAGAGUAUCUGUUACAAACAUGCCUCCACCUUCCACUGCCCACACUAUAACCAGCUGCCACUGCAGCCUCAUCUAUUGAAAUAAUCCUGUAGAUAUUAGCCCAGAGGCUAUGUCUUCUCUUUAAAAUUUGGCUUCACAAGGCAUCCAAAGCCAGGGCUCUGUAACAACCUGAAGGGAUAGGUUGGAGAGGGAGGUGGGAGGGGGUUUCAGGAUUGGCUGGGGGGGACACAUGUAUACCUAUGGCCAAUUCAUGCUGAUGGCAAAAACCAUCACAAUAUUGUAAGUCAUUUGCCUCCAAUUAAAAUAAAUAAACACAUUUUAAAAUAAAAUAAAAUUGUGCUUCAAAUAGCGAAGAAAGCUCUGGGGAAUUUGUCAGAUAACAAUGCUUCUACUGAGACGAAAACAAAGCUAACUGUGUUGCAAAGACCUUUCUUAUUUUAUAUUUUCAUUGUUUCAUCCUUUUUCUUUCUUCCCAGAGACUUGCCCCUGUGUUCCUGCAA